Long non-coding RNA from Tarenaya hassleriana, 673 nucleotides. RefSeq lists it as uncharacterized. NCBI's taxonomy places the organism in Eukaryota, Viridiplantae, Streptophyta, Magnoliopsida, Brassicales, Cleomaceae. The record is from RefSeq and is a predicted model, not a curated record. The transcript has 3 exons.
CCAAAAAAAAAAAAAAAAAAAAACAGGGAGAGAAAGAGAGGAAAUUAAUGGAGGCUGCAAGAGCUUCUUGCGUUCUACUUAUACUAUUCAUUCUGCGACUCCAUGCAGAAAGCUAUGCAAACUAUAAUAGCAAAGAUACACAUAUAAACACACAACCCAUGGAAAUAGUAGUGAAGCAAGCUGCAUACAGACGAGGUCAUGAAGUAACUGCUCGGGCACCUAAUAAAGCCAGCAUGGAAAUGCGAAAUCUUGUGAUGGAUGAAGUGGAGCCACCGAACAAUGAGAAGAAGUCGAAAACUUCGAGUUUAACGUCUGAUUACGCCGGACCCACUCAUCAUCCUCCAAGGCACAACUAAUUACCUAUGCCCUUCAAAAUAAUUGAAUCUCUUGUUUCAUAUAUCAAGCUUAAUUAUUAAUUACACAUGUUUAUAAUGUUAAUAUACAUGUGUUUGUUGUUUCUGUUAUCUCUGUUCUUUCUAUAUCCAUAUCCGAUAGAUACUUAGUGUGAAUAUAUACAUACUGCAUACAAAUAUGGCUAUAGUUUUACACUUCUAAAGAAGCUAUAGGAUCGCCUCUUUGUUUUACUUUCCUCUGUUUCGAAUGUGAAAAAGAGUAUUGUUUAACUGUAUUUACAGAUACAUUUUACCGUUAUAGAUAAAGCUAUUAGAAAUUU